CCACGUGACCAACUCCGGAGCGCACUACUUGUGUGGGGCUUCCAUCACAAGAUUUAGAAACAGACCGUGAGCAUGAUCCAAUCCUUGUCUCGAGAAUACCCUAUUCUCUAGGGUUACAAUCAUCAUAUAGUCCGUAGGUUUCACAUACACUACGACUCAUAUGUGUCAUUUGUUCUUUUGCUUACUAUCAACUAAAUGCCACUCGUUCAUUUGUUUACUAUCGACUAGAUGCCACUCGUUCUUUGUUUAACAUUAGACCAACCAUUGAGUCAAUCUCUUCCUCUGCACUAUAGGAUUCACAAAUCUCGACCCAAUCCUUAUCGAUCCACAAUACCAAAUAUCUAAUACAUGCUACGAUAUCAUCAAGGAAGGCAUAAGGAAAGGCAAUGCACAAUCAUCCUAUAAUGCAAUAAUACAAGAUGCAAGGGUCGACAUGUACUAAGACAUAGAAGGGAGCCCGAUUGCUUCGGGAUGGACACCACCCACCUCUUGGCGAUGCCGCGACGAUAGAAAACUCGACGUUGCGAUCUUUGCACGUCGCUUCAACUCCUCGGGCGAAGCGAGCCCUCGAGUACCCGAUUCGGCAAUAACUCCACACUCGCUCGUCGGAUCGGCAAACCGUCUUCGCCGACGCGUUCCGAGACCUAGCAAUUUGGUUUACGACCUAUUAAUAUAGAUCAAAACCCUAGAUUUACCAAAAUC
This 702-nucleotide long non-coding RNA is filed under the name Ananas comosus (pineapple). Its description in RNAcentral is "long non-coding RNA (ACOM_LNC040544)". The record is from RNAcentral. Lineage: Eukaryota; Viridiplantae; Streptophyta; Magnoliopsida; Poales; Bromeliaceae.